GUCCACAGUCAUACCAUCCUAAAGGCAGCAGAUCUCGUCUGAUCUUGGAAAAUAAGCAGGGUCGGGUGUGGUUAGCAUUUGAAUGGGAGAAAAAUCAUUUUUUACUAAAAGGCUUGACUCUUUGGACA
Molecule: ribosomal RNA, 128 nt
Filed under: Dasypus novemcinctus (nine-banded armadillo)
Lineage: Eukaryota; Metazoa; Chordata; Mammalia; Cingulata; Dasypodidae
Source: RNAcentral